GACGAACGCUGGCGGCGUGCUUAACACAUGCAAGUCGAACGGAAAGGCCCUGCUUUUGUGGGGUGCUCGAGUGGCGAACGGGUGAGUAACACGUGAGUAACCUGCCCUUGACUUUGGGAUAACUUCAGGAAACUGGGGCUAAUACCGGGUAGGAGCUCCUGCUGCAUGGUGGGGGUUGGAAAGUUUCGGCGGUUGGGGAUGGACUCGCGGCUUAUCAGCUUGUUGGUGGGGUAGUGGCUUACCAAGGCUUUGACGGGUAGCCGGCCUGAGAGGGUGACCGGCCACAUUGGGACUGAGAUACGGCCCAGACUCCUACGGGAGGCAGCAGUGGGGAAUAGUGCACAAUGGGCGGAAGCCUGAUGCAGCAACGCCGCGUGCGGGAUGACGGCCUUCGGGUUGUAAACCGCUUUCGCCUGUGACGAAGCGUGAGUGACGGUAAUGGGUAAAGAAGCACCGGCUAACUACGUG
Molecule: ribosomal RNA, 468 nt
Filed under: uncultured bacterium
Lineage: Bacteria
Description: partial 16S ribosomal RNA
Rfam family: Bacterial small subunit ribosomal RNA
Source: RNAcentral